Molecule: ribosomal RNA, 999 nt
Filed under: Triticum aestivum (bread wheat)
Lineage: Eukaryota; Viridiplantae; Streptophyta; Magnoliopsida; Poales; Poaceae
Description: partial small subunit ribosomal RNA
Source: RNAcentral
AUGGACUGUGGUUUAACUGAUUUGGGUUUCUCGGGCCCCAAAUUUACAUGGUGCAACAAGCAGGAGUCGAACUGCCAUGUCAAAAGCCGUCUUGACCGGGCUGUGGCAAAUGGAGCUUUCACCAGUUUGUUUGAUCUCUCUUGGGUGGAGAAUUUAAUAGCCACUACCUCUGAUCACUACCCCAUACUUAUUUCCUUGGGCUUUAAUUAUCUUCAGAGCCGCCCUACACUAGUCCAACAGGGUUUCAAGUUUGAAGCUAUGUGGCUGCGCGCGGAGGAUUACAAAGAAACUUUCGAACAGGCAUGGUCGGAUGGUAGGGAUGGCAGCCCUUCCCUGCAGUCUACAUGGUCUAACUUAAAGCAUGUUGCUGGUUCUCUGCGGAAUUGGAGCAGGGAGGCUUUUGGUAAUAUCCGGCGGAAGAUCGGAAGUUGGAGCGUCGCCUUGCUUCUAUUAGCCUCGACCCCUUCCCCUUCUUUGCUUUCGGAGGAGCGGUCUAUCGAGAGCCCACUUUGUGAGCUUUUCGAGCGGGAGGAGAUAAUGGAGAGGCGGCUUUCCCGCAUCGACUGGCUUAAGGCGGGUGACCGAAAUACAGAAUUCUUCCAUGCUCGAGCGACAGCACGACGGAGGACGAACAGAAUUCAGUCGCUUAUCUGUGAGGAUGGCUCUAUUUGCAGCUCCCAGGGGGAAAUAAAAAGCAUGGUGCGGAGUUUUUAUGACAAGCUAUUCACUUCUGAACCAUGCCCAAAAGCUGACGAGGUCAUUGAAGCUAUUCCUCAAAAGAUCACGGCUGAGAUGAAUGAAGAAUUGUGCAAGCCAUAUAGUAAUGAGGAAUUAGAACAACCCUUUUCCAAAUGGGUCCAACGAAAGCCCCGGGUCCUGAUGGGUUCCCGGCUCUUUUCUACCAAGCUCAUUGGAAUUUUCUUGAAGAGGAUAUUUGCCAAGCUGCGAGGGGAUUCAUCGAGGGAAGACCUAUUCCAGAGGGGUUUUGUGAUUCUGUGA